Molecule: long non-coding RNA, 384 nt
Filed under: Brassica napus (rape)
Lineage: Eukaryota; Viridiplantae; Streptophyta; Magnoliopsida; Brassicales; Brassicaceae
Description: long non-coding RNA (BNAP_LNC007679)
Source: RNAcentral
GAACAUGGAAUUCUUUAACAAAGAGCAGAUCCUCCAUCUUGCCCUUCCAUAGAUGAUAGUUAGCACCAUUCAAGCUUAUCAUCCUGCUCGUAUUUUCCAUCAUUCUCACAAGCAACAAUAACCCGAAGUUAUCAAACCCAAAGCUCUAAACCCAGAAGCUCUGAUACCACUUUGUUGGGGAAAGCGGGCACGAGGCGCAGCGGAAUGUAGCGAUUGUGUUCCCCCUGACCUUGUGAGAACCUGUGAGGAAAAUACUUCGACGAUAGCAGGAUAUAGUAUAAGCAAUAACUAAAUGAGACAAACACUUUUUACGUGGAAAACCUCCUCGAUGUGAGAAGGAAAAACCACGGAACCGUAGUCCACUCAACAAUCCACUAUAUAAAU